AAGGGCUUAGCUUAAUUAAAGUGUUUGAUUUGCAAUCAAUUGAUGUGAGGUGUAUUCUCGCAGUCCUUA
Molecule: transfer RNA, 69 nt
Filed under: Fossa fossana (Malagasy civet)
Lineage: Eukaryota; Metazoa; Chordata; Mammalia; Carnivora; Eupleridae
Description: tRNA-Ala
Rfam family: tRNA
About the family: Transfer RNA (tRNA) molecules are approximately 80 nucleotides in length.
Source: RNAcentral